RNAcentral lists this long non-coding RNA (5048 nucleotides) under Populus trichocarpa (black cottonwood). RNAcentral describes it as "long non-coding RNA (PTRI_LNC001973)". The record is from RNAcentral. Lineage: Eukaryota; Viridiplantae; Streptophyta; Magnoliopsida; Malpighiales; Salicaceae.
GUGUCUUUGAUGUGCUAAAGAAGUUUUAAAAAUUCUGUUCUUUCAUCGAAUUUAGAAAUACGACUUACAUGUAAGUUCAUAAUUCUUUAUCCGUGAGCAAAUCAAAAUAUUAAAUUCUUCUUUAAUCUUUGCAAUUUUAUCCUAAAUAAAAAAAACAUCCAUAACAAAAAAAUACAAACUCACACAUACACCUUCACUGUAUUUUUUUCUUUACUGUAUUUUUUUUUCUUUUCUCUUUCUUUUCUUUUUUUGCUUCCAUGUUUACAAAAUGCAAAUUCCAAAAAAACUUAAAACUAAACAAAUAUUACAUUAAACAAAAAUUACAUUAAACAAUUCUAAAAUUACAAAACAGCCCCUAAAACAUCCAAAGGCUUCUGGAAUAUGCAGGAACAGUGCACGGGAACAGUGGCGGCGCGUCUUCUCCACGCUCAUGUCUAUUCAAAUCUAAUUGUUGAAAUGAAAUCAGAGAGAUGUCAAUUUUGAAAAGUAUUUUUGGAAAUCAAGCUUGUUUGGUCAAAGAUCCAACACACGUUAUUCAAUGUAGUCCUUUGAUUGCCUUGUAUUUUGAACACAGAAAUGACCCGUUGUAAGAUUAAAAUGACUUUUUCAUGGUUUUUUGUGUCAGUUUUAAUCUUUGAUCUUGGGUAUAUCUUUUGAUGGUCUGUGAUGAGGUGACCUUCUGUGAAUUUCAAGGAAAACAAAAGGCUCAAGUCAAAACUUGAGGAUUCAUCAAGAAAGAUUGUUUUCUUUUUUUAGCACCAAUUUUAUCAGCAUGCAUAAUAACCAGUAGCUUAAUUCAUGAAGCCACGACUCUUAUGGAAAAAAAAAAACUCUUCAAGUUUUGAGAUCGCCAUUUAUCGGUUCAGAUUGCUUACUUGAUCAAAAAGGGCUUUUAAAAGCACGUAAUGCAGGCUAUGGAUCAUGGCUAUGAAAGAAAGGAAUUUCAAAAGCUCAAAAGGUGUUUGAGGGUUUCAAAGCCCUAGGAUCAAUAUCAACUAUUCAUCAACUUUUUUCUUAUUGUCAUUGUAGAGAAAGUGACAUAUAACCUUGUUAAUAUCAAAUUCAGAAUUCUCUUAACAUAGGUCAUAAUGCUAAUCCAACUUUUUCUCUAAUAAAUAAUGAAUCUAAAAUUUUUUGAAGACACUAAAGGCUUUAUCCUAGACACACCAAAAGACAUGAAACUUGAUUUUUUUGGUGUUGACUUUUGGCAUUUGUUGUGUGUUUCUUCCAUUGAAACCUCUUUUGCCCCUCUUAGAAUUGAUAGGCAUUCUCCUUCAUUUCCACUUUUUUUGCUUUUACAUAACCUUCCUCAAAAUUUUCUUGGAUGGCCCUCAAUCUAUGGCUUUUCUUGUUCUCCCUUUCUCAAUCAUUGGGCUUUUAUUCUAAGCCUUUCUUUUAUCAUUGAUUCUAUCAGUGUCUUUAUCCUUCCUAAUAAUAUAUCUCUCAUUGCCCCCAGUGUGGAGUGUGAUCCUAGUCAAGGUUUCUUUUUGAAAGAAAAUAUUUUACCAGGCUCAAAAUGGGACUGCAAGGGAUAUAAUCUUUAGAAAGUGAAGGGAUAUCAAAGAUGGCCUUUUCUCAUUUCAAGCAAGGUCGGUUAGAACCGAUAAAUUUUGACCUCGUCCAGUGUAAUGAUUUGGACUUGUAAGAAUCCUGAUUCACGAGUCCAUAACUAUUGAAUCCACUACAUGUCAUUAUGCAUACUGCUAAAACUAGCUAUAUGAUGUGUGGUUCAGUUUCAAAAGGUAUGAGUUCAAAAUUGUUUGGUCACCUCAUGUCAUUUUCAAGCAUCAAGUCAUUUCCGCAAUCAAAACACUUUUAAUCUUCAGGAUUGACUAGCUUUAAUUUUGUAUGUUGGAGUUUGAUCAAAAAAAUAUUUUUGUCAAAAUACCCUUUGAAAGAAGCAUCUCUUGAUUUCAAAACAACAAAAAGACAAAGAAAAGACAUGUUUCGUCCAAGGAUGAGAUGUGACCCCAAAACAAAAUGCGGAAUGACAACUCCACAAUAAAAUGAUGGACAAUUCAGCACCAUUCUUGGAUCAGCUUUUCUGGCCAUAUUUGUGUUUUGCCGAGCAACUUCGAUCACUUGUUAUUCUGAUGAUGUUCUGGUGACAAAAUGAUUGAUGACAUCAUCUCUCACAAACUCAGCUCGAUUCUUGAAACUUGUGUCUGUUCAACUGAAAUGGUCCAGGAACCCUCCAUGAUAUUCACAUCUGGUUUGAAUUAUACCACGGUGGUUGCAUGCAAAUUUAUCGAAGUGGGUGCAACAAAUCUGGAAUCUAACAGAUGCUGGUCGACAAACUUGAGUGGCAGAUGAAUGUCAAUCUUGGCAAAGACAUUUGAGCAGUUGAUGUUAUGGCAAGGCAAAAUGACUGAGUUUUCUCAAUUGAGAGUCAUCUUCUGAUUCAACUCUCAUCACUGUUAUGGAAUCCAUGGUAGAUCCUUCAAUCUUUCCUCUCUUGAUAGCUAGCUCAAUUCUUUUGGCAAUCCACACAACUUCAUGUCAAUAUUUCAAUGUUGUUGUGGUUGGUUGAGGGUUGUCGGAAACCUUUUAAUAGCUUGGUAAUCUUGGUAGUGCCCAGAAACAUGUGGCAUCGCCAUUACCGACGUGUGGAAUCACACAUUGUCAAAACUGGAAGAGAACCUGAUGAAUCUAAAACUCCUUUGUCUCCUCUUUGAUUCCUCACUGACGGUGCAGCAAACAGACACCUGUAGAGGGAGCUCUGCUCUGUUGAAGUUUCAAUCUUCUUUCUAUUUUUCAGCCGAGGCCUGUCUCUUUUCCCUACUUUUGCAUUUUCAAGCUAACACCGAUGAGAGAAAAUUAUAGAUGAUCAGAAGCUACUGCAUCCCUUCUUGGAUUCUCCACUUGCAGAGCCACAAACAGAUUUCUGCGGAGAGAGCUCUGCCAUGGUGAAGUUCUAUAUCUGCUCCUGUUUUCUAGCUCAGGUCUGGCUUUUCUGCCUACUACAGUGUUUCGGUGCUGAAAUUGAUGAGACAAAUUUUUGUAGCGUGUGAAAGUACUGCGUCCCCUCUUGCAUGCCCCACUGGCAGAUCCAUAAACGGAUUUUUGUAGAGAGAGCUCUGCCACAUUGAAGUUUGAUGACUGCUAAUAUUUUCAGACCAGGUCUGACUCUUCUGCCUACUACAAUGUUUUGCUGGUGCCACUGGUGGGAGAAAGUUUCAAAGCAUAUGAAACUACUACAUACCCUCUUGCAUUCCCCACUGGCAGAUCCACAAACAAAUCUCUACAGAGAGAGCUCUGCCACAUAGAAGUUCAGUGUAUAAUCAUGGUUUUUUACAUUUUGUGCUACUGAACUGGAAUUAAGCUCACAGUAAGGGUAACCUCAAAGAAGGCUAAUGCACCAUGCACAGAAGGCUAGCAAUUAUUUGGUGUCAUUGAAAGAUGUGGAGGCGUUGAAUAAUUAACAGGGCGGCUAACCAAGAACAAUUGUCAUUAGUUGCUGACUGAAGGCAUUGUUGUCGUUGUUCAUGACUGAAAAGGAUAGGUGCAGCUUCAAUGGGACGUGGACGAGCAGUGUUCCCACAGAAGAUUGUGCAGACAUUCCCUUUCCAUUUGAUGCUUAACACUUGUUCAGGCAGAUCUGAGCCUAGCUACUUCUCCUUUGAUGCUCUCAACUUUCUUUGUGAUAAUGAGCCUCUAUCUGACAUCUUUCUUCAUUUCCAUCAUCUUUUUCAAUCACGUGUAGCAAACCUCGAACAGGGGAACCUAUUUUUCCUCAUGGUACAUGCAUGAUAAAUGUAUGAACAUGUAAACUAUAUGAUGAACUCGCCCUUCGAGGGGUGACAUAUGGUCGUAACUCUUGUAUGAUGAAACAAGAAUCUUGAUUCUUGCCCAAACUCUACAAUGAAAAUUUUCUGAGUGACGGCUAUUGGGUCACCCACAAGUCUUGAGUUCAAGAUGCUUCAAGAAGGGUUUGCCCUGAUGCAAAACAAUGUAUACGGAGCAUGCAUCCUAAAGGCAGGUUCUAAUCUUUUUAAGUGAGACAAAAGGUAGGUUUACUACUUGGUCUCUAAAAAGGGUCUCUUGUUGUCCUAGUGAUUGCCCUCGUGGAGGCAAUAUGGGGGCUUGUAGGUAAUGAGAUGGCACAUGUCCAACUAUUACCAGUCUAAGCACUCAACGAAGAGUUGGGGUUUACACAAACUUAAACCUUGACUAAAAGUCAUAAGGUAAGCUGCUAGUCCCCCUCCUAACCUGAAGCCGUGUGUGCUUUAAAAAAUUAAAACAUGUGAUGCAUGAGACAAUUCUAUACAAUGCAUGAAUAAAAUAAAAAUAAAACAAGAAAAAAAAUGCAAAAACAUAAACACAUCAAAUACACAAAGCUUAGUCCAAUAAUGUUGAAAACAAUACCUUCCCCAGCGGAGUCGCCAUUCUGUCGCACGUCAGAAAAACCCCGCGCGGCGUCGGCUGGCGAUUUUAUCUUUGUUGCGUUUUGCUAGAAUUGGUUCGUUGGAGUCGCCACCUAGUAAUUUAUUAAAGGCUACUAGGAAACCCGGGUACUGGUCUUAUCAGAGAUUCAAGGGUAAGGGACAGAUUGUGGUUAUGGAAGGUAUUAGCACCCCUAACGCACCCUACCUGAGGUAAGCUGCUUCGUGUCUUUGAUGUGCUAAAGAAGUUUUAAAAAUUCUGUUCUUUCAUCGAAUUUAGAAAUACGACUUACAUGUAAGUUCAUAAUUCUUUAUCCGUGAGCAAAUCAAAAUAUUAAAUUCUUCUUUAAUCUUUGCAAUUUUAUCCUAAAUAAAAAAAACAUCCAUAACAAAAAAAUACAAACUCACACAUACACCUUCACUGUAUUUUUUUCUUUACUGUAAUUUUUUUUCUUUUCUCUUUCUUUUCUUUUUUUGCUUCCAUGUUUACAAAAUGCAAAUUCCAAAAAAACUUAAAACUAAACAAAUAUUACAUUAAACAAAAAUUACAUUAAACAAUUCUAAAAUUACAAAACAGCCCCUAAAACAUCCAAAGGCUUCUGGAAUAUGCAGGAACAGUGCACGGGAACAGUGGCGGCGCGUCUUCUCCACGCUCCACCGUCACUG